GAGUGUAUUCUGAUGGUUCUUAUGGGAUACCAAAGGAUAUUAUUUACUCUUUUCCUGUUAAAUGUGAGAAAGGAAAAUGGUCAAUUGUGAAGGGGCUCAAGAUCAAUGUCUUCUCAAGGGCAAAGAUGGAUGCAAUAGCCAAAGACCUCAUUGAUGAAAAAGAAGUUGCCCAUUCAUGCCUCAACUAACAAUGAACCCAUCUUCCCUUGGAAAAUAAUGAAGAAGACUUGAUAAUGCUUGAAAAGAAAAAGGGAUUUCCAAUUUCCAUCCUAACUUUAUGUACAAAUUUUAUCAGUCGCUUAUAAGCUUUGGAACAAUGAUAGAACAAGAUAUGUCGUGAUUUAUCUUA
This is a long non-coding RNA of Quercus robur (English oak), 349 nucleotides long. RefSeq lists it as uncharacterized. The transcript is spliced from 2 exons. The record is from RefSeq and is a predicted model, not a curated record. Lineage: Eukaryota; Viridiplantae; Streptophyta; Magnoliopsida; Fagales; Fagaceae.